Oncorhynchus mykiss (rainbow trout) is the source of this 1906-nucleotide non-coding RNA. NCBI's taxonomy places the organism in Eukaryota, Metazoa, Chordata, Actinopteri, Salmoniformes, Salmonidae. The record is from RefSeq and is a predicted model, not a curated record.
UCCUAUAUAGACCCUGAGGUAACAACAGGUACAGUAUCCUAUAUAGACCCUGAGGUAACAACAGGUACAGAACCCUAUAUAGACCCUGAGGUAACAACAGUUACAGGACCCUAUAUAGACCCUGAGGUAACAACAGGUACAGGACCCUAUAUAGACCCCGAGGUAACAACAGGUACAGGACCCUAUAUAGACCCUGAGGUAACAACAGGUACAGAACCCUAUAUAGACCCUGAGGUAACAACAGGUACAGGACCCUAUAUAGACCCUGAGGUAACAACAGGUACAGGACCCUAUAUAGACCCUGAGGUAACAACAGUUACAGGACCCUAUAUAGACCCUGAGGUAACAACAGGUACAGGACCCUGAGGUAACAACGGGUACAGGACCCUAUAUAGACCCUGAGGUAACAACAGGUACAGGACCCUAUAUAGACCCUGAGGUAACAACAGGUACAGGACCCUAUAUAGACCCUGAGGUAACAACAGGUACAGGACCCUAUAUAGACCCUGAGGUAACAACAGUUACAUGACCCUAUAUAGACCCUGAGGUAACAACAGGUACAGGACCCUGAGGUAACAACAGGUACAGGACCCUAUAUAGACCCUGAGGUACAACAGGUACAGGACCCUAUAUAGACCCUGAGGUAACAACAGUUACAGGACCCUAUAUAGACCCUGAGGUAACAACAGUUACAGGACCCUGAGGUAACAACAGGUACAGGACCCUAUAUAGACCCUGAGGUAACAACAGGUACAGGACCCUAUAUAGACCCUGAGGUAACAACAGUUACAUGACCCUAUAUAGACCCUGAGGUAACAACAGGUACAGUAUCCUAUAUAGACCCUGAGGUAACAACAGGUACAGGACCCUAUAUAGACCCUGAGGUAACAACAGUUACAGGACCCUAUAUAGACCCUGAGGUAACAACAGGUACAGGACCCUGAGGUAACAACAGGUACAGGACCCUAUAUAGACCCUGAGGUAACAACAGUUACAGGACCCUGAGGUAACAACAGGUACAGGACCCUAUAUAGACCCUGAGGUAACAACAGGUACAGGACCCUAUAUAGACCCUGAGGUAACAACAGUUACAGGACCCUGAGGUAACAACAGGUACAGGACCCUAUAUAGACCCUGAGGUAACAACAGGUACAGGACCCUAUAUAGACCCUGAGGUAACAACAGGUACAGGACCCUAUAUAGACCCUGAGGUAACAACAGGUACAGGACCCUAUAUAGACCCUGAGGUAACAACAGUUACAGGACCCUGAGGUAACAACAGGUACAGGACCCUAUAUAGACCCUGAGGUAACAACAGGUACAGGACCUUAUAUAGACCCUGAGGUAACAACAGUUACAGGACCCUGAGGUAACAACAGGUACAGGACCCUAUAUAGACCCUGAGGUAACAACAGGUACAGGACCUUAUAUAGACCCUGAGGUAACAACAGGUACAGGACCCUGAGGUAACAACAGGUACAGGACCCUAUAUAGACCCUGAGGUAACAACAGUUACAGGACCCUGAGGUAACAACAGGUACAGGACCCUAUAUAGACCCUGAGGUAACAACAGGUACAGGACCUUAUAUAGACCCUGAGGUAACAACAGUUACAGGACCCUGAGGUAACAACAGGUACAGGACCCUAUAUAGACCCUGAGGUAACAACAGGUACAGGACCCUAUAUAGACCCUGAGGUAACAACAGUUACAUGACCCUAUAUAGACCCUGAGGUAACAACAGGUACAGGACCCUGAGGUAACAACAGGUACAGGACCCUAUAUAGACCCUGAGGUAACAACAGGUACAGGACCCUAUAUAGAUUAAACUGGUCUGGUCUUGUUCCUUGUACAUGUAGUGGGAUUAAACUGGUCUGGUCUUGUUCCUAGUAAAUUUAGUGGGAUUAA